UCAUGGCCCUCUGAUUGGCCACUUUGUGAAAAUAGGCUGCUGGACGAGAUGGGUUUUUUGUUUGAUCCAGCAGGCAUUUAUAUUAAUAUGCUCUUACCUAAUAUAUUGUAAAUACUUCAAAAUCAGAAAGGGUACUACAUAGGCAUUAUAGAUGGUAGCUGAAUCUCACUCUUGAAUAAGAGUCACUACUACAUUCCUAAUUGCUCAAAAGCAGCACACCUGCUACCCAUUGCUAUCUGAGCUGUAGAUCCAGGAGACGUACUCCAUGGUGCAUUUUUUUCUCUAGGGCAGUGUAACCUACCUCCCCUGCUUGAGCCAAGACUUUUCACUGAUUUGAUUUGAAAUUGAAGAAAUUUAAUAAUUAAAAAUACAACAGGGUGUUGCUAAUAUAUUGGCAUUUCACUCCAAACUAACAUCAUUUUACCCAACCACUGUACAUAAAUAGCAGGGAGGGCAAGAAAGAAAUCUUAGAUUAGGCUACGAGUGGUUAUGACAACAGUUGCUCUGAGCAUGCUUCAGUAGGUAAAAACAACCAUCUCAAAGCAGUGCCAAUUCUGUUAGGUUCUUUGAUGGUCUGUGAUGCUGAGAGAUGCUAUAGUCCAGUGUAAAUGGAACUGUUUAGUCAUACAGGAAUAAACCUGGAUGAGCCUUGGUGUCACACAACGCUCCUCUUGCAGCACAGCCACAAGGAAAUGUGAAGCAUCUGCUUCCAUUUUUAAUAUCUGGUCUGUUGUUAUAUCCAUCAAGGACAAACUGCUUAAUCUCUGGUUUCUUAAAACAAGCCAGGGUCACACCAUGGUUUCUUAUCCUGGCUUGUUCCAAGAAACCGUAGUUUAACCACAGUUCCCAGGUCUGUCAUAACAAGAAACUCCAGUUAAUUUAAACCUGGAAGCCUUGCUUAUAAAGUCCUUUAUCAUAAGCUAAUAGCAUCUGCAGUUAAAGGGACACGGGUGGCGCUGUGGGUUAAACUACAGAGCCUAGGGCUUGCCGAUCAGAAGGUCAGCGGUUCGAAUCCCUGCGACGGGGUGAGCUCCUGUUGCUCGGUCCCUGCUCCUGCCAACCUAUCAGUUUGACAGCACGUCAAAGUGUAAGUAGAUAAAUAGGUACCGCUCCGGCGGGAAGGUAAACGGUGUUUCCAUGUGCUGCUCUGGUUUGCCAGAAGCGGCUUAGUCAUGCUGGCCACAUGACCCGGAAGCUGUACGCCGGCACCCUCGGCCAAUAAAGCGAGAUGAGCGCCGCAACUCCAGAGUCGGUCAUGUCUGGAACUAAUGGUCAGGGGUCCCUUUACCUUUUUAUCUGCAGUUAAUGGUGCAGUCACAGGCAGUAAUCCAACUUGACCAGAUUUAUAGAGCAAUUCUUUACGUGCUUAUUUGGGAAGUGCUUACCGGUGGUAUGCAACUAAGUUUUAUGAACCUAACUUAGAAUGUUCAUUAAUUUCAAUGAGUCUACCCUAAGCAAAACAUAGUUGAAUACCUUCCAGAAAGGAAGAAUAGUAUAAUAAACAUCUUUAUUAAUUUUCAGAAAACUUAAGUGACAAUAUGACCUCACAUAAACAUCAAAAUGAAAAUAUAAAUGAAAACAAUAAUGACAAUGAUAAUAACCCCCCAAUUUACAUUCAAACAUGUAAUUAACCCUCUGAUAUUGCAUAUCUCAGGUACGGGGAGAGCACAAAAGGAAAUCGGUAAGUACAACCGAGCAACUACAACAGAGCAAGCAGUAUCACAAUCAAGGUAACGGUAUGAUUAUUUUUCCUCUUCACAUGUUCAGCAGUCCAACAACAGAGUCUUGUAGAGAUUUUCACGACUGUAGACAAACCGUCAAAGUAUAGAACCCAGAGAUGAGUGUAUGCCAAAGGAGGGGAUGAUAAGAGUUCAUCUGUUUCAUAGUCGUCAUCAAAAGAUCUACAAAAAGGAAGAAAGAUAUUAAGAACGCAGAUGGUUUACAUGUUUGGUUAUAACUGAGGUCUUUUACUUGGAUCAUUUUUCAACUCUUCAGCAACAAGAAUUUCAUACUCCUCAGCAGCAUAUCUGUCCCAAUCAGAGGGUUCAGGACCAUCAUUCUCAACAUCCUAAAUAAAUAUGUGAGAAGGAAACAAGCAAAACUGAACAAACCAAGUCACUUUCACAAUAUACAUAUUUGCAAUGACUAGGAUGCCUUUGAACAAAUACACACACACACACACACACACACACACACACAGUCUCAGGGCAAUGACCAUUCACUUUCCAGGUAAACUGAAUGGAACCUCAUUGCAGUUGGGAAAUUCAAACUCUGAAGAGUACAACUACUAAAAACUAGAAAUAGAAAGGACAAACAAAUUAUUUUUCAUACGCUAUACGCGUACAUUUCUUUAUACACUUUUAACUUAAUGCCUCAGAACACUGGACUGAGGCAUUUCUUGUUUACAGUAGACCAUUGACUUCAGAAGGGAAAUAAAAGCGACAUAGUUCUCUUCUGUGAAACUGUAUAAACUUGUAAUUCAAGGUAGUUACAAAUUCUUCACCAAUAGUUGUUUUUUAAUCAGGUGAAUAAGGAUACAGGGGUUGCUAUAUGAAGGGAAAGGAUAAGUUAGCUACCUCUUGUUGUCCCUUCCAGUUCAAAGAGUUCUAAUAUCAUUAGCUAUUUAAGCCCGGAAAAGAGAUUCUUGUAUCCUACUUGAUGUUCUAAAUUUGUAGACACUAUAUAUCCCAUCUAAUAAUUGUCCCUGAAUUGGAUAAACUUGCCAAAGAUCACAUUCAAGAUAAGUGAUAACAGUCUAUGUUUCUGUUCCUCUGAAAUAUGUACUGAAGAAACUGUUACUGUUACAUAUAUAUUUUACCAUUUAUGUAUGCUGCUCAUUUAUCAGAAUCAUUUUAAGUGUUAAGGAAGAAUAAUGUGCAAUAGGCCAAUGUACAAAGGCCUCAUGACACCAAGCAAGCAGGGCUUUAAUCAUUUAAUUUCUGCUAAAGAUGCAGAAAUGUCUUGUCAUUACUUGUCCUAGUACCUGAUCAAAGAAUAAUAUAAUGGGAUAUUACACAACCUUUCCAGAUACUAAGCAAAUUUAAUCAGCUCUUCUCCCUCUUAUAUUUUCUGGGGUUACUAAGCAUACAUUUAGGAAAAUUUCUGUUCUAAAUACAUCGUUUUGACCACUGCCACCAUAUUUCCUAGUAAAUUCUUUUGGGAACUUCAUGAAAGUAUCCAUCUCUUGUUCCUUUCCAGAGUAGAACUCUCAGAGCAAUCACUAUUUUGGAACUGCUUUAUACCUUCUG
Molecule: long non-coding RNA, 3248 nt
Organism: Podarcis raffonei (Aeolian wall lizard)
Lineage: Eukaryota; Metazoa; Chordata; Lepidosauria; Squamata; Lacertidae
Exons: 3
Source: RefSeq, a predicted model, not a curated record